GCCUUAGUGGCGCACGGGUGCGUAACGCGUGGGAAUCUGCCCUUGGGUUCGGAAUAACAGUUAGAAAUGACUGCUAAUACCGGAUGAUGUCGUAAGACCAAAGAUUUAUCGCCCAAGGAUGAGCCCGCGUAGGAUUAGCUAGUUGGUGGGGUAAAGGCCCACCAAGGCGACGAUCCUUAGCUGGUCUGAGAGGAUGAUCAGCCACACUGGGACUGAGACACGGCCCAGACUCCUACGGGAGGCAGCAGUGGGGAAUAUUGGACAAUGGGCGAAAGCCUGAUCCAGCAAUGCCGCGUGAGUGAUGAAGGCCUUAGGGUUGUAAAGCUCUUUUACCCGGGAUGAUAAUGACAGUACCGGGAGAAUAAGCUCCGGCUAACUUCGUGCCAGCAGCCGCGGUAAUACGAGGGGAGCUAGCGUUAUUCGGAAUUACUGGGCGUAAAGCGCACGUAGGCGGCUUUGUAAGUUAGAGGUGAAAGCCCAGAGCUCAACUCUGGAAUUGCCUUUAAGACUGCAUCGCUUGAAUCCAGGAGAGGUGAGUGGAUUCCGAGUGUAGAGGUGAAUUCGUAGAUAUUCGGAAGACACCAGUGGCGAAGGCGGCUCACUGGACUGGUAUUGACGCUG
This 621-nucleotide ribosomal RNA is filed under the name uncultured Alphaproteobacteria bacterium. Its description in RNAcentral is "bacterial SSU rRNA". It matches the Rfam family "Bacterial small subunit ribosomal RNA", at positions 89 to 748 of the family's 1533-position model. The record is from RNAcentral. Lineage: Bacteria; Pseudomonadati; Pseudomonadota; Alphaproteobacteria.